This 482-nucleotide ribosomal RNA is filed under the name uncultured bacterium. RNAcentral describes it as "partial 16S ribosomal RNA". It matches the Rfam family "Bacterial small subunit ribosomal RNA", at positions 30 to 507 of the family's 1533-position model. The record is from RNAcentral.
AUUGAACGCUGGCGGCAUGCCUUACACAUGCAAGUCGAACGGUAACGGGCCUUCGGGUGCCGACGAGUGGCGAACGGGUGAGUAAUACAUCGGAACGUGCCCGAUCGUGGGGGAUAACGAGGCGAAAGCUUUGCUAAUACCGCAUACGAUCUACGGAUGAAAGCAGGGGACCGCAAGGCCUUGCGCGGACGGAGCGGCCGAUGGCAGAUUAGGUAGAUGGUGGGAUAAAAGCUUACCAAGCCGACGAUCUGUAGCUGGUCUGAGAGGAUGAUCAGCCACACUGGGACUGAGACACGGCCCAGACUCCUACGGGAGGCAGCAGUGGGGAAUUUUGGACAAUGGGCGCAAGCCUGAUCCAGCCAUGCCGCGUGCAGGAUGAAGGCCUUCGGGUUGUAAACUGCUUUUGUACGGAACGAAAAGCCUUCUUUUAAUACAGGAGGGUCAUGACGGUACCGUAAGAAUAAGCACCGGCUAACUACGUG